RNAcentral lists this ribosomal RNA (76 nucleotides) under Haemophilus influenzae PittAA. The record is from RNAcentral. Lineage: Bacteria; Pseudomonadati; Pseudomonadota; Gammaproteobacteria; Pasteurellales; Pasteurellaceae.
CGAAUUCAGAUGUGAAACGCUGUAAUUCCGAUGGUAGUGUGGGGUUUCCCCAUGUGAGAGUAGGGUACCGCCAGGU